RNAcentral lists this long non-coding RNA (507 nucleotides) under Olea europaea subsp. europaea. The record is from RNAcentral. Lineage: Eukaryota; Viridiplantae; Streptophyta; Magnoliopsida; Lamiales; Oleaceae.
GCCUAAAAACCCUAAACCCUAAACCAAACUUUUUUCUCUCUCUACCUCCAAAACGCUCUCUCUUCUCUCUAGAAUGGGAGAAAACCUCCAAAACUCCAACAAACUUGAUCCACCACCAAAACCACCGGAUUGCAGCACUCUAAGUGGUGGAAAAUCAUCACCAACAACCACCCAAACAUCUCCUAUAACACCAAUAUCAGAUUCAUCCCCCAACUCAAUAGAUCUGAGUUUGAAAAAUCAUGGCACGAAUCCCAAGGUCAUCGAAACACCCCCCUACGCAUUGAAUCAGGGUCUUGGACCAUCACCAAUGAUUCCAGAAGGGCCAAAAACCCUGGGGGUGGUAGAGAUUUCAUCCGAAUCGCCCGAAAUUGACAGAUCGGAUCCCGAGGGGCCAAAAACUGAUUUUUCAAUUAACUCUUCCACAGAGCUCAAACAGCGACACGCGCCUGACCAUAAGAUUACCCAUGAAAAGGCGAACCUUCGACUAAAAAAUCAUCCAAUUCCGAC